AAGACUUUGAUGUUGAAAUCCUGAUCCACAUCGAUGGGUUGAUCUGGAAAGGGUGUGAUUAGGUGUGGUGUGAGCUGUGGAGCAGGAAAACCUGCCAAUCCCUGAUGUUUGACAGGUGGGGUAUUUAAGUCAAACUGAUCGGGGCAGGAGUUACAGUUCUCUUCUGGUCUCCAACAUGAAGCUGAUCCUCUCUCUGACUUUCCUCUGGGUGCUCGGCAGCACAGAGGCAGAACUCAGCUGUCUGACCUGCGUGAAUCAGCAGUGUUCAAAUGCUGUAUCUCGAACAUGCAACAUGGGCGAGCUAUGCGUUUCUGCUGCUUCUGAAGUCUCUGGACUUGGAACCAACCUGCAGCAAAUCAUCAAGUCCUGUGCACCAUCGGAGCUGUGUGCAGCCACCGGGACACAGGCGUUUUCAGUCAACCUGGGUUUUCUCAGUGUACUCGCUAAUGUUUCAUGCUGCGACUCCAACAACUGCAACUCGCAAAAUCAAACUUUCCUAGGUGCUCAGAUGAACAACAGCCUCGAGUGUUACUCCUGUAACUCAACCACUGACACUGUAUGCAGAACUAAACUACAGUGUAGAGGAGUGGAGAACCGCUGCUUUAACACCAGAGUGACUAUCAGCAACAACACAUCUUCAUUUUUGGGCUGUGCAUCUCAAAAUGCAUGUUCAGCUGCUGAUUCAGCCGGAGACAUCCUGGCAAUGCAAACGCUCGUCAACAUCUCCACUGCAACAACAUGCUGUUCAACAGAUUUAUGUAACUCCGUCACAACAAUAUCUGGAAGCAUUGGCAUCAUCCCUCUGCUGCUUGGACUCCUCAUCUUCAGCUUCUAUUAGAACAUGGAGAAAAUUGGAUCACGCACCUUUGAAGCCACCAGGAUUCCAAAGAACCUCCUGAAACCUAGAUUUACUUGGAAGUUAAGGAGGACAGGAAAUCCAAAUUUAGGGGAAAGAGGAAUCAGGGUGAAGCUGAGGUAUUAGAGAGAAAAAAAAAACAGAUGAAGGAGAUACAAACAACUUUAAGAAACUUUAUAUAAAAAUAAUUAACUAACUUGGUACAAACUGGUUGGAUAUCAGCAUAUUUAAGUGAUCGCCGUUAUUUCAAAGUCAUGGUUUCUUAGUCAGUGGUGGAGGAUUGGGUUUGCCUUUGGGGCCUCUUGUUCUUUCUCUACUUCAAUCAUUUGCUUCAUUGAAAUCAACACGUUUGCUGAUUAAUCUCAAUAUGGCUCUGAUUUUUAACAUGUUUGCUUUACAUGGUUCUGAAAUAUAAACAAAUCUUGAUGUGAUCAUUUUGAAAGAAGCUCCCAAACAAAUCCAAUAAAUCAAUAAAACUGUGAACUUGGUGAGUCUUUGCUGAUCAUUUGAACGCUGUUAAUUAUCUUAUAGUUAUGCAGUAAUGUGAUGGAAAUAGCCAUUAAUCAAGAGCACAAUGACAAGUUAUUAUUAAAGUGCUGCAGAAUGUAAAAAGGGUUGGUAAGUUAUUGUAACUACAACGGGCACGUACAGCCAGUCUUUUUCAUAUGAGCACCCAUGAAUAUUAACGGCAUUAAUAACCCUUAUUGAGUUGUGAAGGCAAUUAAUAACAAGUACAAGUGAUGAGCAGCAAAAACGAUGAUUAAUCACAUGAUGAUGCCUUUUUAUUUUGAAAUACAAUGAACUAAACAGAAUCACAAAUGAUUGAAAAGGGGAACCAAAAAUAUCUGCAUACUUGAAAAUGAAGGUUAGUUCCCAAUGAACCAAACAAGUUCCUCGUUCUUCGCUGAUGACGGUGACGAACAAGGAAGUUGUUUGGAACAACAGAGUUUCAGUAUUACAGUUUCACAGCAAUAAGCAUUUACAGUCAUGAAAUAUGAAUAACAGAAUGUUAAGGUGAAUGCAUCAAAACUUGACAAAUUAAUAACCUUCAGACAUUUCUAAAUACUUUCACAGAAAUAAAAGGUUUAAAAGAAGCUCCUGGUGUCACAUGUGUGGUCUAAUGUUGUAUGAGAGCCCAAAUUCAAAGAAUAGCUGCCAUUGUU
This 2019-nucleotide long non-coding RNA is filed under the name Echeneis naucrates (live sharksucker). RNAcentral describes it as "lncRNA (ENSENLG00000016225.1)". The record is from RNAcentral. Lineage: Eukaryota; Metazoa; Chordata; Actinopteri; Carangiformes; Echeneidae.